Molecule: ribosomal RNA, 468 nt
Filed under: uncultured bacterium
Lineage: Bacteria
Description: partial 16S ribosomal RNA
Rfam family: Bacterial small subunit ribosomal RNA
Source: RNAcentral
GAUGAACGCUGGCGGCGUGCUUAACACAUGCAAGUCGAACGGAAAGACCCUGCUUUUGUGGGGUUCUCGAUUGGCGAACGCGUGAGUAACACGUGAGUAACCUGCACUUGUCUUUGGGAUAACUUCAGGAAACUGGGGCUAAUACCGGAUAGGAUCUCCUGCUGCAUGUUGUUCGUUGGAGAGUUUCGGCGGUUGGGGAUGGACUCGCUGCUUAUCCGCUUGUUUGUGGGGUAGUUGCGUACCAAGGCUGUGACGGGUAGCCGGCCUGAGAGGGUGGACGGGCACAAUGGGACUGAGAGAGGGCCCAGAAUGCUACGGGAGGCAGUGGUGGGGAGCAUUGCAGAAUGGGCGGAAGCGUGAUGCAGAAACGCUGCGUGCGGGAUGAUGGCUUUCGGGUUGUAAACAGAUUUCGCAUGUGACGAAGCGUGAGUGACGGUACUGGGUAAAGAAGCACCGGCUAACUACGUG